Molecule: long non-coding RNA, 1416 nt
Organism: Clupea harengus (Atlantic herring)
Lineage: Eukaryota; Metazoa; Chordata; Actinopteri; Clupeiformes; Clupeidae
Source: Ensembl
CUUCAUCUAUCUCUUCACUCAUGCAUGCCUUGUCAAGUGUUAGCAGUUAGUGAUGCUUAUCCAUGCAUGUGAUACCUUAGAACCAAGCUGCUUCCAAAGAAAUGCAGGCCAGUUAUUCAGGGUAACACUUCCGCCAUCCACAUCAUCUAAAAUAAACGUUAGCUUUUUUUUUCCACCUCACAUUUAUAAUGAUGGUUCAUCAAGGUUGCAGUGGUUCAGUCUGUCCUCCUCUACCCUCGCUCUCGCUCUUGCUACCACCCUCCCACUCACCGGUGCGGAUUAACUGUGCCGUGCAUGGAGGCAAAUUCCAGGAAAUUUGUGCCCAUUUAAUAAUCCACUGUAUAAAGUGGAGAUGAGCCCUGUCUCCCCUUGAAUCUACUGUCUUAUUCACCCGCUGGACAUAAGUGAUACUGUGAUUGGUAAAUAGAUGCAGCUUCCGACAAUACACAAUGAAAACUGUGUUUUUGCUGACACCACAGGCAGCCCAACCGGUUUUGCUCUGAAGGUUUAUCAUAUUUUGCUGAAAGGUCACCUACAGACACAGAGCAGACCUAGCAUUGCACAUAGCACAGCUACAUCACGGAGUAAGUCAGUUCUCCAUUGGUCAACAACACUGUUUGAAUGUUCUCACAUGCCUUGAGGGACCCCCCUCAUAGACAAUCUUGAGGACAGUUAAUAGGAGCCAGUACCCGUUCUGACACAUGCCCCUCUCUCCACGCUGUCAGUAUGUGGGCUGGGUGACUGGGAGAUUUAGAAUUAUGAUGGACAAUGCAACCCUCUUACCAGGUGCUACACGUUGCCAGCUGUCCGGUUGCAUAAUCUGUUUGACGCCGCCGCAACCCAUCAAGCUCACGUAAACAUGAGGACAUGCACAUUCACACAGAGAUGUGACUCUUCUGCUGCCUCCUGGAUGGUUCUUCAGUUCAUCUGUAUUCUCACAGAACAGAGACCACAACAGACACCUCAGAUCUCCUGGUGAAAAUAUAUUUUUUUGUAGAGGAUAAUGUCUUGCUAUGCCAUUUCUGAGGAUAUAGAUGUCAGUCACACAGGAGGAAUUUAAUUUCUAGCUGUGAAUAUGGCCUGUCACAGUGGUGAGAAAGCACUGGCCACCUCUUCAAGGACAACUGAUCACGUGUGUGGUGACGAGCCAGUGACGCGUGAUCGAUGAAGACGGGUGUGGUGGAGUGUGAACAGGACCAAAGAGUGACCAGAUAAGUGUAUGUAGGUAUGUGUAUACCAGUAUUAAUUUUGGCAGCUAUUUUAGAUUUAGUCUUAGUCUUUAGACGAAAAUGCAUAUUAGAUUUAGUCACUUUUAGUCAUUUUUAUCCUGCUUAGUUUUAGUCUAGUUUUCGUCGACGAAAACUCAGAACAUUUUAGUCUAGUUUUAGUCGACGAAGUCUCAUUACAUUUUAGUCU